AACGAACGCUGGCGGCAUGCCUAACACAUGCAAGUCGAACGAUCCCUUCGGGGAUAGUGGCGCACGGGUGCGUAACGCGUGGGAACCUGCCCUUAGGUUCGGAAUAACUCAGAGAAAUUUGAGCUAAUACCGGAUAAUGUCUUCGGACCAAAGAUUUAUCGCCUUUGGAUGGGCCCGCGUUGGAUUAGCUAGUUGGUGGGGUAAAGGCCUACCAAGGCGACGAUCCAUAGCUGGUCUGAGAGGAUGAUCAGCCACACUGGGACUGAGACACGGCCCAGACUCCUACGGGAGGCAGCAGUGGGGAAUAUUGGACAAUGGGCGAAAGCCUGAUCCAGCAAUGCCGCGUGAGUGAUGAAGGCCUUAGGGUUGUAAAGCUCUUUUACCCGGGAUGAUAAUGACAGUACCGGGAGAAUAAACCCCGGCUAACUCCGU
This 432-nucleotide ribosomal RNA is filed under the name uncultured bacterium. RNAcentral describes it as "partial 16S ribosomal RNA". It matches the Rfam family "Bacterial small subunit ribosomal RNA", at positions 29 to 506 of the family's 1533-position model. The record is from RNAcentral.